AAACAAAGCAUCUCGGUGUUGCUUGUUGACUGCCGUCUGGCGUUUUCGUCGAAAGAGAGUAAGGAAUUUUUCCUCGCCUUCACUUUUUCGAUUGAAUAUCGGUGAUAGACAGUACUUGAAAGUUUGUUAAAACUUUAAAUUCUCCAUUGACAAUAUGUUGAAGGUUGGAAAUUCUAAUAUAAAGGGGGGCAAUAAUUCUUUAUUGCCUCAGGUUUUUCAAGUGAUUGUCGUUACAGCAGUUUGUGGAUCAUUCACAUGUGGACAUGUUGUGUCUUUGAUCGUGAUGUUAUGCAAUAUGACAAACGUCGUCCUUUUGCCAGCUAUUCUCACGUAUCUAGUUUGGUUUCUCGCCUACGAUUUCAAAAGGUCGUCGAAGGGCGGCCGUAGAUGGAACGCACUUCGUAAUCUGUCAAGCUGGAAUUAUUAUCGCGAUUAUUUCCCGGUACGACUUAUAAAAACUACUGAACUAAGCCCUGAAAAGAAUUAUAUCUUUGGCUAUCAUCCUCAUGGUGUCAUGUGUGCUGGAGCUUGGUGUAACUUCGCGACUGAAGCAACAGAAUUCAGUAAAUUAUUUCCAGGACUUACACCGCAUCUGUUAACCUUGAAAU
Molecule: non-coding RNA, 608 nt
Organism: Paramuricea clavata
Lineage: Eukaryota; Metazoa; Cnidaria; Anthozoa; Malacalcyonacea; Plexauridae
Source: the annotation of a GenBank genome assembly